Molecule: ribosomal RNA, 621 nt
Filed under: uncultured marine eukaryote
Lineage: Eukaryota
Description: SSU rRNA
Rfam family: Eukaryotic small subunit ribosomal RNA
Source: RNAcentral
UAGUUGGAUCUGGAGUGUGAGUGAAUGGUCGAUCGAAAGAUUGUACUGUUCGGCACACUCUUCUCUUCGGUUGCGUGUGUAGUGCCCUUAACUGAGUGCUGCACUCGACCGGAAUUUUUACCUUGAAAAAAUUAGAGUGUUCAAAGCAGACCUUAUUAUGUCUGAAUAUUCGUGCAUGGAAUAAUAAAAUAAGAACUUGGUUCUAUUUUAUUGGUUUUCGGAACUCGAGUUAAUGAUUAAGAGGGACAGACGGGGGCAUCCGUACUCUGCCGUUAGAGGUGAAAUUCUUGGAUCGGCGGAAGACGCGCAACUGCGAAAGCAUUUGCCAAGAAUGUUUUCUUUAAUCAAGAACGAAAGUCGGAGGUUCGAAGACGAUCAGAUACCGUCCUAGUUUCGACUGUAAACUAUGCCAGCUAACGAUCAGACAGCGUUCUCUACGACUUGUCUGGCAGUUUCCGGGAAACCAAAGCUUUUGGGUUCCGGGGGAAGUAUGGUUGCAAAGCUGAAACUUAAAGGAAUUGACGGAAGGGCACCACCAGGAGUGGAGCCUGCGGCUUAAUUUGACUCAACACGGGGAAACUCACCCGGCCCGGACACAGUGAGGAUUGACAGAUUGAGAGU